Molecule: long non-coding RNA, 4063 nt
Organism: Anneissia japonica
Lineage: Eukaryota; Metazoa; Echinodermata; Crinoidea; Comatulida; Comatulidae
Exons: 2
Source: RefSeq, a predicted model, not a curated record
AAUCUAGGUUGUGUGGAUGAUAAGCACUUAUAUCUUAUUGCCAAAGACAUGAGACUGGAAGGCGAUCAACUAGGGCGCAGCCUAGGUCUCAGUUGGAGCAAGCCUGAGAUACAACAAAUAUGGAGUGAUAACAGACGAUUGCUGGAAUGCAUAAUGGAUAUGCUGACAGAAUGGAGAAAACAACAGGACUAUGAGACAGAUGAAGUUGAGAUAAUGUGCAGGGCUUUAAAAGAGCAGGCACUCACCGAGUUUGCUAACAAGGUCUUUGGCUCACAAACAUCAGAGGAUCAAUCAUCCCAUGUACAAGCAAGUACAGAUCAUCCUUGUGGAAGAUUACAUUGAAUGAACCAGCAACAUGAUGGUUGCUUGGCUGAUACUGAUCUUCAGUUCAUUGCUGGAAGACUUGACAAUGACUGGAAAUGAAGAGCUAUGAAUAAAUCAAAUUGCAAGAAUAUAUUCAGGACACAUGCUUUGGAGACCAAAAUAACAUUACAUCAUGACUAUAUAUGGGCACAUCAUGAUUAUAUAUAGGCACAUCAUGAAUGUAUAUGGGCACAUCAUGACUACAUAUGGGCACAUCAUGACUAUAUAUGGGCUCAUCAUGACUAUAUAUGGGCACAUCAUGACUAUAUAUAGGUACAUCAUGACUAUAUAUGGCCGUCCAACAACUUUUCGUUAUUAAAAGAAAAUGUGAUAAUCCGGACAGAGCUUAAGCCUGAUUUUCAUAAAAUAAAAUCGCUAUAUUGUCGCUACAGUGAUUUCCAUGCAAUGGUUGCACUGUGUAGCUGUCUCCAACAACUGACCAAUCAGCAUUGCCAAAAACAUCUGACAUGCCUAAAUAUGGUCAUGAUGACAUCACAUCAUGACCAUAUAUAGUGAUAUCAUGACUAUACUGUAUAUCAGCACACUGUACAAUAGUUUCUUUCUCAAAGAAAAUUUGAUAGUCUGGACAGAGCUUAAGCCUGUUUUUCAUAAAAUCGCUACAUUGUCGCUACAUGCAAUGGUUGUGCUGUGUAGCUGUCCCCAGCGCAAUUUCGAAGGCCUCGCGACUUGACCGACCAAUCAGCAUUGCCAAAACGUUUAUUAACGUUGAUAAAGAUAGCAGGAGCUAUCGAAAUAUCCGUUGUAUAUAUAUACAUAUAUAUGUAUAUAUAUAUAUAUAUAUAUGUAUAUAUAUACGUAUAUAUAAAUACGUAUUGUAUAGUGCAUUGUGUGCAGAUUAGAAAGCAUUUGCUUAUCCCACCUACCUUUAUAUAUAACGCCUGAAGUACUACACUGUAUCUGUCAGGGAUAAUGUGUGGAUGUGUGUGUGUGUGUAUAUAUUGUAACGAAUCUCCUUCGUCUGUCAGGAUAAUUAGACCUAUUUAUGAGCGUCAGGGUUCGGCUGCGGUUGUACACCACCGACUUCACUAAACAGAAAGCAAUCAAAUAAUACAGACACAAUUUGAAUUCACGAUUCAUGUGAGGCAAGUCCGUUUUUAUUUCCAAAAUAACUAUUCUAGUACUCACCCUUCAUAGGGUCGUAGUAUUCGUAAAGUAAACGUGCAACCUUGAUGUAACAAUGGAAGAUCAAUAACGGAACCAACUGAAGUCUCCCCCAUGUAGUGGGCUUAUUUGCAUAACUUUCCCAUUCCCACAAGGGCCAAUCAGAGCGUGGCUUACAGCUGUCUAAUUAAUUGGGCUACCACCCCUCAGGGCUGUUUCAACAAUUGGGGAGACAUUUCGUUACAAUAUAUAUAUAUACUGUAUAUAUUUCAAAAUUUCUUCGGUUUAAUUUUCAGCUUAAAAUUAUUUCUCUCUUCUAGUUUUCUAUCUUGACUGUAAAGAGAAAAAUGACUCUAUGACUGUAAAGAGAAAAACAACUUAAGCUAAUAGCUUAAGUUGUUUUUCUUACUUGAUUGAUUGAUUGACUGCGCCACAUUCGUGUGUGCUGCCACUGUUGUAAAAAUGAUGUAAAAUAAAUAUUAUUAUGCUCUUUAAAGGUUUAGAGUGGAAUAGCCGAGUACAAGUUUUGAAUUCUGGUAAACAGUUUCUGAUUGGUUAGUUCCCCAUUCUUACUAGCCAAUCAAGUGAUGUAGUAAAAUUAAGCAAGUUAGUUUUGAAUGAGGGGAUUUUCUUUGAAAUGCUUUGUUUGUUUAAGAUAUUUUUUUUUGUGAAAUAUAUAUUUUAAAUUUUGCAUUCAUUUAUCAAACUUGUUUUUGGAUAGGUUUGUUUCAAAUAAUAGGAGAUUCUUGGUAUUUUGUUCCUUUCUGUGCCUUUUAGUUGUUUAAUUUACAGAUCAAACUUGACAAUUUUUGAAGUGUAAUGACACAAUUUUUUGAAUUCAAGUUUGUAGAUAUAUAGGUACCUUUUACAAGAAAAAUGGCAUUUAUUCAGAAACUAUUUUCAAAAUGGUUAUUAUGCAUGACUGUAUAUUGUAAAGGAAAUGGUACAGCUUAUUAGUAUAGAGGAAGGGUGUUUGCCUAAUCAGUGGAAGUCCCUAGAUGGGCUCUGGUUGGAUAAUAAGAUCAGUGUCAUGUAAUGAUCAUAUGCUAGAGACAGAAGCCAAUAAAAGAAGUCGAACUAUGAGAAGUUAUGACUUGAUCUCCCUGUGUUUAAAGUAGACGACCUAUUGUAUAACUUACUUUGGAAUAUUAUAUAUAGGGGUUUUUUUCUAAAUUAUAGUAAUUUAUCAAUUUAAGUCAAGUAAACUAGAUUGUGUAAGUGAUUUUAAAUUUCUACUUUCGGCUCAAACCUCGGGAAGUCCCGUUUUAAUUUUAUGUGAACAAAAUAAUAGGCAAAAUUAGUUAUAGGAUAUAUAUAUUUUUAUAUGGUAAUUUUGAUGAAUUGUGUAUGUUUUGAUAUUUAGAAUUUAUAUUUUUCGACAGCAAAUACUAACACCUUACUUUUAAUAGCUAUUGUUUAGUCCUUGUGUAAGUGAUUUUAAAUUUCUACUUUCGGCUCAAACCUCGGGAAGUCCCGUUUUAAUUUUAUGUGAACAAAAUAAUAGGCAAAAUUAGUUAUAGGAUAUAUAUAUUUUUAUAUGGUAAUUUUGAUGAAUUGUGUAUCUUUUGAUAUUUAGAAUUUAUAUUUUUUCGAAAGGAAAUACUAACACCUUACUUUUAAUAGCUAUUGUUUAGUCCUUGUGUAAUUUUAAAGUAUACAGCAAUCAUUUUAAAUGCCUCCUUUUUUAAUGUAUUCAUAUGUUUUUAUAUUGUAAUGCAAUGAAAUUCAGGCAUGCCCUGUCGAUUGUAAAUUAUAUGCCAUAAUAAAUAAUGAACAAUUAGAGAUCAGGGCAUUGGAGGACAUGUGGUAAUGAAACUCUCCACCCCUCAAACUGUAUGAACAUUGUAGCAGUGGUAGUUUUAAGAUUCAUAUAGCACUGCAAUUUGUCUGACAGGCAGUCUUCAAUGUUUUUCAAAUACAAAAGAGUGAACAGUAAUGCUCUGGUCAGGGGGAAAUGCAUCCUGAUGAAAACAUGGGUAAUUUUUAAAAUUUGUAAAUACAUGCUGCCACCAAAAUACUGUAAAAAGAACAAAACAUAUGCAUAAUUUGUAUACUGUAUUUUAAUAUACAAACCAGGUUGGUAGAGCUGGUAGAAUCCUACUCCAACUUAAGUACAGUUAAGAUAUACAGUGGUAGAUUGAAGGAGGGCCCUAGUUGGCCCAAAGCCCCCCUUAAAUCUUUUAAAAAUUUUAAGAAAAUGGAGAAAAAAGGAAAAUUAUAUUCAAAUUUUAAGUCAGAGGGUGCCAUUUUCGAUCAUCGAAAGGCACCACAAUCAUAGAUUUUCUCAAGUCAGCCCCCGGCCAAUCGUGGUGAGGCGGGUGUGUACAGACCCAAAACCUGUGAAAGCCCCCUUUAUUUCAAAUAUCUGGAUCUGCCAAUGAUAUAUGUUUUGUUUUUAUGUAUAUAUCUUUUUGUUCUGCUGUUAGGGUUGUUCAUUCUAAAGUUCUUGCUUGCUUUGAAUACCUCUUUUCCAUUUGUCGUUGUGUAUUUUGUUACUUAAUAAUUCUUCAUUUUGUAUUGUCUUUAAUUCUGAUAAAUGGAAAUAAAGUUAUUAUUUGAAUUUUAAUUUUAAUAUGAA